RNAcentral lists this transfer RNA (66 nucleotides) under Eryx miliaris. RNAcentral describes it as "tRNA-Thr". It matches the Rfam family "tRNA". From Rfam's summary of the family: Transfer RNA (tRNA) molecules are approximately 80 nucleotides in length. Lineage: Eukaryota; Metazoa; Chordata; Lepidosauria; Squamata; Erycidae. The record is from RNAcentral.
GCUCUAAUAGCUUAAUCCACAAAGCAUUGUUCUUGUAAACCAAAGCUGGGCAAACCCCUUAGAGCA